RNAcentral lists this ribosomal RNA (483 nucleotides) under uncultured bacterium. RNAcentral's name for it is "partial 16S ribosomal RNA". It matches the Rfam family "Bacterial small subunit ribosomal RNA", at positions 30 to 507 of the family's 1533-position model. The record is from RNAcentral.
UUGCACGCUGGCGGCAGGCCUCACCCCUGCCAGUCGAGCGGAUGAAGGGAGCUUGCUCCUGGCUUCAGCGGCGGACGGGUGAGUAAUGCCUAGGAAUCUGCCUGGUAGUGGGGGAUAACGUCCGGAAACGGGCGCUAAUACCGCAUACGUCCUGAGGGAGAAAGUGGGGGAUCUUCGGACCUCACGCUAUCAGAUGAGCCUAGGUCGGAUUAGCUAGUUGGUGGGGUAAAGGCCUACCAAGGCGACGAUCCGUAACUGGUCUGAGAGGAUGAUCAGUCACACUGGAACUGAGACACGGUCCAGACUCCUACGGGAGGCAGCAGUGGGGAAUAUUGGACAAUGGGCGAAAGCCUGAUCCAGCCAUGCCGCGUGUGUGAAGAAGGUCUUCGGAUUGUAAAGCACUUUAAGUUGGGAGGAAGGGCAGUAAGUUAAUACCUUGCUGUUUUGACGUUACCAACAGAAUAAGCACCGGCUAACUUCGUG